AUUGAACGCUGGCGGCAUGCCUUACACAUGCAAGUCGAACGGCAGCACGGACUUCGGUCUGGUGGCGAGUGGCGAACGGGUGAGUAAUAUAUCGGAACAUACCCUAGAGUGGGGGAUAACGUAGCGAGAGUUACGCUAAUACCGCAUACGAUCUAAGGAUGAAAGCGGGGGAUCGCAAGACCUCGUGCUCAUGGAGUGGCCGAUAUCUGAUUAGCUAGUUGGUGAGGUAAAGGCUCACCAAGGCGACGAUCAGUAGCUGGUUUGAGAGAACGAUCAGCCACACUGGAACUGAGACACGGUCCAGACUCCUACGGGGGGCAGCAGUGGGGAAUAUUGGACAAUGGGCGCAAGCCUGAUCCAGCCAUACCGCGUGGGUGAAGAAGGCCUUCGGGUUGUAAAGCCCUUUUGUUGGGAAGGAAAUCCAGCUGGCUAAUACCCGGUUGGGAUGACGGUACCCAAAGAAUAAGCACCGGCUAACUUCGUGCCAGCAGCCGCAGUAA
This 500-nucleotide ribosomal RNA is filed under the name uncultured bacterium. RNAcentral's name for it is "partial 16S ribosomal RNA". It matches the Rfam family "Bacterial small subunit ribosomal RNA", at positions 30 to 523 of the family's 1533-position model. The record is from RNAcentral.